GGUGUGGAAGCUUCGAGACAUCUAGGGUUUCGACGACUAUGAUAUGUGCUCUGGAACGAAAGAAAGAAAAUGUUGUGCGGGACGAGAUUGGAGAGAUGAAAUGGGGACAAGAGACAGAAAUGUUGUGCGGGACAAGAUUGAAAGAACUGAAAUGGGGACGAGAGAAAGACGUUGUGCGGGACAAGAUUGAAAGAACUGAAAUGGGGACGAGAGAAAGACGUUGUGCGCUCUAGACGAUAGAAAUAUGCUACGCUCAGGGACGACUAUAAUGAAAAAAAGUAAAAUGAAAGAAGGGUUUGGCACAUAUUAAGAUAGGUGUUUUAAUAUCUAUCAUAAGAUGUUUUCCCCAUAAUUUCCAUUUUACCACCGCGUCUAACUUAUUAUGAUAGGUGAUCUUUACCUGUUAUAAUACAUGUAACUUUUAUUAUGAAAAUGCCACCGUUACACUUAUUAUGAUAG
RNAcentral lists this long non-coding RNA (459 nucleotides) under Vigna radiata. RNAcentral describes it as "long non-coding RNA (VRAD_LNC004700)". The record is from RNAcentral. Lineage: Eukaryota; Viridiplantae; Streptophyta; Magnoliopsida; Fabales; Fabaceae.